AGCGGUAAGGCCCUUUCGGGGGUACACGAGCGGCGAACGGGUGAGUAACACGUGGGUAACCUGCCUCCAGCUCUGGGAUAAGCCUGGGGAACUGGGUCUAAUACCGGAUAUUCACUGGUCUCCGCAUGGGGGUUGGUGGAAAGUUUUUUCGGCUGGAGAUGGGCCCGCGGCCUAUCAGCUUGUUGGUGGGGUAAUGGCCUACCAAGGCGACGACGGGUAGCCGGCCUGAGAGGGUGACCGGCCACACUGGGACUGAGAUACGGCCCAGACUCCUACGGGAGGCAGCAGUGGGGAAUAUUGCGCAAUGGGCGAAAGCCUGACGCAGCGACGCCGCGUGGGGGAUGAAGGCCUUCGGGUUGUAAACCUCUUUCGCCAUCGACGAAGCCCUUCGGGGUGACGG
This 400-nucleotide ribosomal RNA is filed under the name Pseudonocardiaceae bacterium ACTS19. Its description in RNAcentral is "bacterial SSU rRNA". It matches the Rfam family "Bacterial small subunit ribosomal RNA", at positions 65 to 475 of the family's 1533-position model. The record is from RNAcentral. Lineage: Bacteria; Bacillati; Actinomycetota; Actinomycetes; Pseudonocardiales; Pseudonocardiaceae.